Molecule: ribosomal RNA, 484 nt
Filed under: uncultured bacterium
Lineage: Bacteria
Description: partial 16S ribosomal RNA
Rfam family: Bacterial small subunit ribosomal RNA
Source: RNAcentral
AUUGAACGCUGGCGGCAUGCUUUAUACAUGCAAGUCUAACGGCAGCGCGGGCUUCGGCCUGGCGGCGAGUGGCGAACGGGUGAGUAAUGCAUCGGAACGUGCCCAGUAGUGGGGGAUAGCCCGGCGAAAGCCGGAUUAAUACCGCAUACGACCUGAGGGUGAAAGCGGGGGACCGAAAGGCCUCGCGCUAUUGGAGCGGCCGAUGUCGGAUUAGCUAGUUGGUGGGGUAAAGGCUUACCAAGGCGACGAUCCGUAGCUGGUCUGAGAGGACGACCAGCCACACUGGGACUGAGACACGGCCCAGACUCCUACGGGAGGCAGCAGUGGGGAAUUUUGGACAAUGGGGGCAACCCUGAUCCAGCCAUGCCGCGUGCGGGAAGAAGGCCUUCGGGUUGUAAACCGCUUUUGUUCGGGAAGAAAUCCUCUGGGCUAAUACCCCGGGGGGAUGACGGUACCGGAAGAAUAAGCACCGGCUAACUACGUG